GUUUCUGUAUGCAAUCACCAAGCAGAAAAGAUAUCCGGAUGUUCUAUUAAGGGGUAAGCCAGCUACCAUACUGUGAAAACACUCAAGCAGCAUCACUGAAGGACCUGCAUGGAGAGAAAUUGAGGUCUCCACUCAACUAGCAAGUACCAUAUUCCCAGCCAUGCAUAUGAGUUACAUUGGAAGUGAAUCAGCAGCUCCCUUCCAGCCUUCAGAUGACUAUAGCAGCAGUUGACAUUAAACAACAAUCUCACAAGACACACCCAGCUGUCACAUAUAUGAGAUGGAGGCAAUAAUACCAAUCCUACCUCCUAUCAGGGUGAGUGAAUGGCUUAAGUGAGAGGGCAGAUGAUAAACUUCUGGGAGCAGCUCUGAUACAGAAGAGAAAGCAUGGAUCUAAGUAAUGGUACUCUUCCUAAAUUUGAGGUCUGAUUCCACUUUUUACAAGAGAAAAGAAGCACCUGCUGAUUUUCUGCUUUAUCAAGAAACACCUGCUGCUUUAUCAAGAGUGAGUAGAGAUCUAGCCUUCCCACUGGACUUUGCCCUGUAAGUCCUUCUGGAGUGGUACAGAAAAGCUUCAGAAGCUUUUUCCAAGAGGAAUCUUGUGCGACUCUGGCUAUAAACAAUGCUCCUCUGGACCCAGGUACCAAUGGGAAACACACAGUAGGAGACAUAAUUUAUCUUCCCAUUUGUGCUCCAACACCCUGAGGAAGGACUGCACCUACAGUUUUGCAGUUAUAGCAGCCUGAGCAUUGUGCUAGAGAAAGACAUGUUCUUCCCAGAGCGACAGUGGUAGCUGGCCCAGCAGAGCACCAGUGGAGACAGCAAAGACACGGUGCAGCCUGGUAAAAGAACAUUGGCUUGAAGCAUGUCCAUCCUCAACACUGAGACAUAUUGAACCCGUAAGAAUGCUUAAGGAGAAAUUCUCAGGGACACCAGUUCCUACACUUAUGAUGGUGAGAGGUAAAGAAAAAUGUGAAAUUUGGGUGCAAAUGCUAAUAUUAGUGUAUCUGUGCCUUAGAGUGGUGGUCUUUGGGAUUCUUCAGGCUCUUUAUUUAGUAGCUUUAAUGCUAGCUUGAAUUUCCUACUCUUACUUUUUUGACCUCAUUUUUUUUACAUUAAAACAUUUAAUAUUGUGACAUUAUUAUACACUUUUUUCUUAAGCGAAAUUAAAUAUUUUCUUAGAAUAAGAUAGUACUAAAUAAAUGAUUAAGUGAUUGAUAUUUUACAGUAGAAGCUCAAAUGAGCAAUAAACAUGUAAUGCAAAAGAAGUUUGUGGUAGACCAAGUGAUAACCACCCAAAGAUGUCCACUUCCUGCUUGCCUGUAUCUAUGAAUAUGUUAUCUUACAUGGCAAAAGGGACCCUACAGAUGUGAUUAAGUUAAGGAUCAUAAAAUGGAAGAUUAUCCUGGAUUUAUUGGGUAGGACCAAUAUAAUCACAAUGGUGCUUAUAAGACAGAAGGUGGAAACAAAUGAGUCAUGGAAGGAGAUAUGACGAUGGAAGCAGAAAUCAGAGAAAUGCAGCCACUAGCCAAGAGAUGCAGGCAGGCCCUAGACAUUGGAAGAGGCAUUGAACAGAUUCUCUCCUAAUAGCCUCUAAAAAGAAUGCAACUCUGCAGAACCUCUGAUGAUUUUCGUGCUGUAAGAGCUAUUCUGAACUUCUGAUUUCCAGAACUGUUAAAACCUUAAAUGUACAUUAUUAUAUAAUAGUACAUUUGUGGAAAUUUGUUACAGCAUCAGCAGGAGUAUAGUACAAGACUUUAAUGAGAUACACUUUACUCCUAUCAAAUUGCUUUUUUUUCCCCCUAGGUAACACUAAAUGUUUAGUAAAGUUUAGUAAAAAUAGAACUAAUAUCCACCACUGAUAAAGUAUAAGCUGAAAUAUUUUCAGAAAGUAAGCAGCAUAGACAAAGGUCUAAAUCCUUAAAGUAAUUUUAAUACUUUGACCAGGUAACUAAAUUUCAGGAAUUUAAGAUGAGAAAAUAAUUAGAUAUGUGUAUAAAUACCUUUACACAGUGCUGUGCAUUCAAACAUUACAUAUGCUGAAACUAGAUUCACUUAAAUGGUUUGGAUAAACUUUACUGUAUCCAUGCAAAGAAAUAUAUUACACAGUUGUCAACUGCAUUAAAUGCCAAAGUAAAGAGUCAGACACCUAAGUUAUUGUAUAUUAUAGCUCUAAUGUUAUAAAAUAUAACUAUAAAUCAAUAUUUGUGAAAGAAAAAUAUUAAUAUGAAAUAUACUAAUAUAACUCAUUUUUGAAUGAGAUGUGUGAUGUGUCUUUUUGCCUUUACAUCGUCCUGAUAUUUUUUCAUUUUUUCAUGAAGGGUUAGUACAUUACUUCCAUAAUCAUAAAAAGUAAAUAUGAAAUGUAUAUUUAACAUGUUAUUAUGAGGAAACUCAAUAAAUAAAGCAUAUCAUCACUGUUAUGCUGGAAACGAAUGCUGUAAGCCCAGAAUCCUCACAGUAAGAUAGCAUCAUUCUGUUAACUGAUAGUUGGAAAGCUAUUGGCUGGUAUGUCUGUCAAUUCAAUUGUUAAUCUGUAUUCUGUAUAUUUUUUAAUAUUAAAAAUCAUUUUAAAAUGUAAACUCCAUUAUUGUUAUAAUUUUAAAAAUUAACUAAGGUGCCAGGAGUUGUGAAUCAUCACCACAGGGUUAACAAUAAGAAGUUAUAUGACUUUCAACUCUUUCCUUUAACCUUCUGGAAUACAAUUUUCUCACCUAAAAAACAAAGAUGUUUCAUUAGAUGAUUAGUCGAUUAAUUUAUGGUUUUCCAAUUGUGACUCUUGUAAGGAUCUAAAAUAUUUAUGCCGCACACCUCUUCUGAGAAGAAACUGUCGUUGCUCCAAUAUUCCUGCCUACAUCUAACAAUAUUCCCCGUAAAUUACUCUGUAAUCCUUUUUCACUCCUUACAUGCCUUCAUGUCUCUUCUAGUAGAUUAGAUAACGAUGUAUGUUCCACUCUGAGCAGGUAUAUUCAGACCUACCUAUAAAGGUCAAGGGAGCUGAGAGGCCAAAGAAAGGGACUGACAAAUCCAGUUUCUCAGAAAGAAACUGUCAGGCCUCUGAGCCCAAGCCAACCAUCCCAGC
RNAcentral lists this long non-coding RNA (3082 nucleotides) under Homo sapiens (human). RNAcentral's name for it is "HSALNT0210004". Lineage: Eukaryota; Metazoa; Chordata; Mammalia; Primates; Hominidae. The record is from RNAcentral.